GAUUCCCCUAGUAACUGCGAGUGAAGCGGGAAAAGCUCAAAUUUAAAAUCUGGCGGUCUUUGGCCGUCCGAGUUGUAAUCUAGAGAAGUGUUACCCGCGCCGGACCGNGUAUAAGUCUCCUGGAAUGGAGCGUCAUAGAGGGUGAGAAUCCCGUCUUUGACACGGACUCCCGGGGCAUUUGUGGUGCGCUCUCAAAGAGUCGAGUUGUUUGGGAAUGCAGCUCAAAAUGGGUGGUAAAUUCCAUCUAAAGCUAAAUAUUGGCGAGAGACCGAUAGCGAACAAGUACCGUGAGGGAAAGAUGAAAAGAACUUUGGAAAGAGAGUUAAACAGUACGUGAAAUUGCUGAAAGGGAAACGCUUGGAGUCAGUCGCGUUGGCCGGAAAUCAACCUUGCUUCUGCUGGGUGUACUUUCUGGUUGGACGGGCCAGCAUCAGUUUUGACCGGUGGAGAAAGUUCAAGGGAAUGUGGCAUCUCUGGAUGUGUUAUAGCCCUCGAUCGUAUACAUCGGUUGGGACUGAGGAAUUCAGCACGCCGAAAGGCCGGGUGAAUANACCACGUUCGUGCUUAGGAUGCUGGCAUAAUGGCUUUAAUCGACCCGUCUUGAAACACGGACCAAGGAGUCUAACAUGCCUGCGAGUGUUUGGGUGGAAAACCCGAGCGCGUAAUGAAAGUGAAAGUUGGGAUCCUUGUCAUGGGGAGCACCGACGCCCGGACCAGAAGUUUACGGAUGGAUCCGCGGUAAAGCAUGUAUGUUGGGACCCGAAAGAUGGUGAACUAUGCCUGAAUAGGGUGAAGCCAGAGGAAACUCUGGUGGAGGCUCGUAGC
RNAcentral lists this ribosomal RNA (825 nucleotides) under Coprinopsis romagnesiana. RNAcentral's name for it is "eukaryotic LSU rRNA". It matches the Rfam family "Eukaryotic large subunit ribosomal RNA", at positions 73 to 881 of the family's 3401-position model. Lineage: Eukaryota; Fungi; Basidiomycota; Agaricomycetes; Agaricales; Psathyrellaceae. The record is from RNAcentral.